GACGAACGCUGGCGGCGUGCUUAACACAUACAAGUCGAACGAAGAGCGAUGGAAGCUUGCUUCUAUCAAUCUUAGUGGCGAACGGGUGAGUAACGCGUAAUCAACCUGCCCUUCAGAGGGGGACAACAGUUGGAAACGACUGCUAAUACCGCAUACGAUCCAAUCUCGGCAUCGGGACUGGAUGAAAGGUGGCCUCUAUUUAUAAGCUAUCACUGAAGGAGGGGAUUGCGUCUGAUUAGCUAGUUGGAGGGGUAACGGCCCACCAAGGCGAUGAUCAGUAGCCGGUCUGAGAGGAUGAACGGCCACAUUGGGACUGAGACACGGCCCAGACUCCUACGGGAGGCAGCAGUGGGGAAUCUUCCGCAAUGGACGAAAGUCUGACGGAGCAACGCCGCGUGAGUGAUGACGGCCUUCGGGUUGUAAAGCUCUGUUAAUCGGGACGAAUGGUUCUUGUGCGAAUAGUGCGAGGAUUUGACGGUACCGGAAUAGAAAGCCACGGCUAACUACGUG
Molecule: ribosomal RNA, 510 nt
Filed under: uncultured bacterium
Lineage: Bacteria
Description: partial 16S ribosomal RNA
Rfam family: Bacterial small subunit ribosomal RNA
Source: RNAcentral